RNAcentral lists this long non-coding RNA (397 nucleotides) under Ananas comosus (pineapple). Its description in RNAcentral is "long non-coding RNA (ACOM_LNC024505)". Lineage: Eukaryota; Viridiplantae; Streptophyta; Magnoliopsida; Poales; Bromeliaceae. The record is from RNAcentral.
ACGAUGUGUGCGUGUGCAUCAAUUCUGAAAUAUAUAUGUUCUGCUGCAUGAGCUGAAGGCUAUUGUUUUGGACGCCUUAACAGAUUCCCAAAUUCCUCCCAUGCACUGAACUACAGGGAAAUGAAUUUGAGGACAGGGCUCUUCAGACAUUUUCCUUGUUGUUGUGUUAUCUAUUCUCCUUGCUUCUGUUUUUUCCCCCGCUUCUGCUUCUCUGCUUAAUACCUUUGCUUCUGCUUCUCUGCUUAAUACCUCUCAACGUCCUCGAACAGCCUUGUCUGAUUUCUAUUUUUUUCCUCACCUUUUUUUUUUACCCGGUUUCCUUUAAGCUGCUUGCAGCAGUUUCGGUUUGCUUACACCAGUAUUAAUCAGUUCUGUUCUGGGUUUCGAUUUAUUUAUU